UGGAGAUGGAAAUGUAGUGAUAAAUAGAAGUCAUGAGUACUUUAUUCAAAUUCAAGGACAGCUGGCUAUCACCGGAAGAAAGAAGGCACAUCUUGUCAUAUGGACACCGAAGGAGUCAAUACUUGUGGUGAUUGUUGCAGAGGAUUUCAAAGAAAAUUUGAUAAUUUUAAAAAAAUUUUAUUUGGAGCACUAUGUUCCGUUCAUAUUAGGGGAAAAAUAUGUGAACCAAUAAAUACUACUUAAAAAAAUUAUUUCAAUUAUUAUUCCUCUGGUCUAUUGUCAAAUUGUUCGAUGACAACAAUGCUAAAGGUAUGGGAUUUCCUACACUGAUCGUAAAUCGAAGUUCACUUAAAUGAAAAGUGGGUACUUCGUAGUUUUUACCAUAUAAAAUCGAAAGAAAAUAUUGAAAUUUAUUAAAAAAAGGCAACAAUAAUAGAAAUAAAUAUUUAUUAGGAGCCCAUGAAAUUAU
Molecule: long non-coding RNA, 469 nt
Organism: Coccinella septempunctata (seven-spotted ladybird)
Lineage: Eukaryota; Metazoa; Arthropoda; Insecta; Coleoptera; Coccinellidae
Exons: 2
Source: RefSeq, a predicted model, not a curated record